UAGGGAAUAUUAGUAAUGGGCGAAAGCCUGAACUAGCAACGCCGCGUGUGCGAAGAAGGCCUUCGGGUUGUAAAGCACUUUUUGAGAGGAUGAGGACGGCCGGUACUCUCAGAAUAAGUUUCGGCUAACUACGUGCCAGCAGCCGCGGUAACACGUAGGAGGCAAACGUUAUUCGGAUUUACUGGUCGUAAAGCGCGUGUAGGUGGUUUGGUAAGUAGGGCGUGAAAGCUCCUGGCUCAACUGGGAGAGGCCGUUCUAAACUGCCGAACUAGAGGAUGGUAGAGGGAGGUGGAAGUCCGGGUGUAGCGGUGGAAUGCGCAGAUAUCCGGAGGAACACCAGUGGCGAAAGCGGCCUCCUGGACCAUUCCUGACACUCAGACGCGAAAGCUAGGGUAGCAAACGG
RNAcentral lists this ribosomal RNA (403 nucleotides) under uncultured bacterium. Its description in RNAcentral is "bacterial SSU rRNA". It matches the Rfam family "Bacterial small subunit ribosomal RNA", at positions 355 to 775 of the family's 1533-position model. The record is from RNAcentral.